Atractiella rhizophila is the source of this 95-nucleotide non-coding RNA. The record is from the annotation of a GenBank genome assembly. Lineage: Eukaryota; Fungi; Basidiomycota; Atractiellomycetes; Atractiellales; Hoehnelomycetaceae.
GCCCCGGUAGCAUAGCUGGUUAAUGCUUCGUGCUUAUAUAUCCACAAAUAUAUUUCUCUACGCGAGGAUCGAGGGUUCGAACCCCUCCCGGAGCA